UAACCUGCCUGGUAGCGGGGGAUAACUAUUGGAAACGAUAGCUAAUACCGCAUAAUAGUAGAUGUCGCAUGACAUUUGCUUAAAAGGUGCAAUUGCAUCACUACCAGAUGGACCUGCGUUGUAUUAGCUAGUUGGUGAGGUAACGGCUCACCAAGGCAACGAUACAUAGCCGACCUGAGAGGGUGAUCGGCCACACUGGGACUGAGACACGGCCCAG
RNAcentral lists this ribosomal RNA (217 nucleotides) under uncultured bacterium. RNAcentral's name for it is "partial 16S ribosomal RNA". It matches the Rfam family "Bacterial small subunit ribosomal RNA", at positions 122 to 334 of the family's 1533-position model. The record is from RNAcentral.